GUAAACAUCCCCUAUAAGAGAGCCCUAAGGUUGGAUAGCACUAGAUGUCGAGCGAAGGCUCCAGAUGGCCGGCCUCGUAUAGCAAAGAGCGAAGUCAGGCGUAACACCAUCAAUUGGUAGGUCUCUCUCUCUAUAUAUCUGGUGCGAAUGUCACCCUGUGAAUUUGAAUCCUAGACCAGUGCCAACCAUCAUGAAGAAGUGCCAACCAACACUGCUCAGGCACUCUUUUUUACAUGUUUUCCAUGGACAAAGUUAUUUUCAGCUUCAUGAAUUAGACCUCCCCCCAAUUUCAUCAUCUAGUAGGAUUCUGCAACAGUUCCUCUUUUAAUUUUUAGAUUACGCAAAAUGGGAUUUCAUCCAUGGUUGCCAUUCACAGCCGCUUCCCAGUUGCCAUACAGAGAUCGUAUCAGCCAAGACAAGAGGGCAAGAUCCACGCAGGAUUUUAUAUUCCAGUACGAUAAAAGGGGCAACAUGACAGACAUCUUGCUAUACAAAUAUUCAAGGGACCUAUCGCUAUAUCUCACGGACUCACCUUGGAUUCCAAUAAAUCAUCAAAUCUUAUCUUCUGUUGCACAAAUUUGAUUGUUAGGAGAGAAAAAGGCUUUUUCCUUUGUAUGAUGGAAGCUGAUCUUGGAAAGGCGUUCUCUGGGCAAGGGGCUGGGUUGCAAACAGGCAGCCAGCAGAAAGCAUAAUUAAAAUAAUAGCUGUGGUUGUAUACCAAUGACUCGGCCUUUUUUCUUUUUUUUUUUGGUUUUUCCGGAGGGCCACCUAAUAUGCUUAUAUAACUUUCUGGAGACUAAAUAAAGCUUGGAAUGGCAAGCAAAGCUAAUAAAUUAGCAACUUCAAACUCAUUUCAUGG
This 859-nucleotide long non-coding RNA is filed under the name Elaeis guineensis (African oil palm). Its description in RNAcentral is "long non-coding RNA (EGUI_LNC025388)". The record is from RNAcentral. Lineage: Eukaryota; Viridiplantae; Streptophyta; Magnoliopsida; Arecales; Arecaceae.